RNAcentral lists this ribosomal RNA (447 nucleotides) under uncultured bacterium. RNAcentral's name for it is "bacterial SSU rRNA". It matches the Rfam family "Bacterial small subunit ribosomal RNA", at positions 355 to 825 of the family's 1533-position model. The record is from RNAcentral.
UGGGGAAUAUUGGACAAUGGGCGCAAGCCUGAUCCAGCCAUGCCGCGUGAGUGACGAAGGUCUUCGGAUUGUAAAGCUCUUUUGGCGGGGACGAUAAUGACGGUACCCGCAGAAUAAGCCCCGGCUAACUUCGUGCCAGCAGCCGCGGUAAUACGAAGGGAGCUAGCGUUGUUCGGAAUCACUGGGCGUAAAGCGCACGUAGGCGGAUAGUUAAGUCAGGGGUGAAAUCCUGGGGCUCAACCCCAGAACUGCCUUUGAUACUGGCUGUCUCGAGGUCGAGAGAGGUUGGUGGAAUUCCUAGUGUAGAGGUGAAAUUCGUAGAUAUUAGGAAGAACACCAGUGGCGAAGGCGGCUCACUGGCCCGAUACUGACGCUGAGGUGCGAAAGCGUGGGGAGCAAACAGGAUUAGAUACCCAGGUAGUCCCUGAGCGGGCUGGCAAGGCGCAU